CACGUAGGGGGCAAGCGUUGUCCGGAUUUAUUGGGCGUAAAGAGCUCGUAGGCGGCUUAGUAAGUCGGGUGUGAAACCUCCAGGCUCAACCUGGAGACGCCACCCGAUACUGCUGUGGCUAGAGUCCGGUAGGGGAGCGUGGAAUUCCUGGUGUAGCGGUGAAAUGCGCAGAUAUCAGGAGGAACACCAGCGGCGAAGGCGGGUCUCUGGGCCGAUAUUGACGCUGAGGAGCGAAAGCGUGGGGAGCGAACAGG
Molecule: ribosomal RNA, 254 nt
Filed under: uncultured bacterium
Lineage: Bacteria
Description: partial 16S ribosomal RNA
Rfam family: Bacterial small subunit ribosomal RNA
Source: RNAcentral